UACGGAGGGUGCAAGCGUUAUCCGGAUUCACUGGGUUUAAAGGGUGCGUAGGAGGGCAGGUAAGUCAGUGGUGAAAUCUCCAAGCUUAACUUGGAAACUGCCGUUGAUACUAUCUGUCUUGAAUACCGUGGAGGUGAGCGGAAUAUGUCAUGUAGCGGUGAAAUGCGUAGAUAUCUGGAGGAAUACCGGUGGCGAAGGCGGCAUCCUGGACCGACAUUGACGCUGAUGAGCGAAAGCUAGGGGAGCAAACGGG
Molecule: ribosomal RNA, 253 nt
Filed under: uncultured bacterium
Lineage: Bacteria
Description: partial 16S ribosomal RNA
Rfam family: Bacterial small subunit ribosomal RNA
Source: RNAcentral